AUUGAACGCUGGCGGCAUGCCUUACACAUGCAAGUCGAACGGCAGCACGGGUGCUUGCCCCUGGUGGCGAGUGGCGAACGGGUGAGUAAUACAUCGGAACAUGUCCUGUAGUAGGGGAUAGCCCGGCGAAAGCCGGAUUAAUACCGCAUACGAUCUACGGAUGAAAGCGGGGGACCUUCGGGCCUCGCGCUAUAGGGUUGGCCGAUGGCUGAUUAGCUAGUUGGUGGGGUAAAGGCCUACCAAGGCGACGAUCAGUAGCUGGUCUGAGAGGACGACCAGCCACACUGGGACUGAGACACGGCCCAGACUCCUACGGGAGGCAGCAGUGGGGAAUUUUGGACAAUGGGCGAAAGCCUGAUCCAGCAAUGCCGCGUGUGUGAAGAAGGCCUUCGGGUUGUAAAGCACUUUUGUCCGGAAAGAAAUCCUUGGCCCUAAUACGGUCGGGGGAUGACGGUACCGGAAGAAUAAGCACCGGCUAACUACGUG
This 486-nucleotide ribosomal RNA is filed under the name uncultured bacterium. RNAcentral describes it as "partial 16S ribosomal RNA". It matches the Rfam family "Bacterial small subunit ribosomal RNA", at positions 30 to 507 of the family's 1533-position model. The record is from RNAcentral.